CAACCCCUUUUUGUUGUGGAUGGAAACAAACCACCAAAACCUCCCCCUGUACUACAUCGAACACACACACAUAGCACCACUCUUAGUAACCAAAAACAAAUUUCUCAUCUAAAACCAUCUCAUCCUCUACCUCUCAUACAGUUUCAAUAAGGAUCAUCAAAGGAAAAAUACUUUUAUUUGUUGUAACAAUAAUCAUCUAGCAAAAACAUUCAAGACAUCAUCAUUUUCAUCUUCCUGAUCUUCUUUCAAGAUCAUUAAUUAUUGGUUUUGGAUAGACGUGGAGACUAGACUGCUCAUUUUCUCAGAUUACUCAUACUUUUAGCUCGUUGAACGCUAAGGUAAUCAACAGUAAGUCUUGGAACAUCUAUGGCAUAUUAGGGCCAUUCUUUUGACAUUGGACGUACAAUUAGCAUCAGACAUUUGAGGACUCUCAUGUUAUUAGCUUUAAUUGUAUUAGACUGUCCAAAUUAUUGAACUCGUAUUCAGUGGGCCCAGUUCCAAAUGAGGACGACUUGUAUCCGUAUUUUGGGGUCCACAUUUGAACAAUUGUAGUUGUAUUGAACUUGUAUUGGCAUUAAUGGAUGUAAUCUCUAUUACCUUCUGAUUA
Erigeron canadensis is the source of this 607-nucleotide long non-coding RNA. RefSeq lists it as uncharacterized. The transcript is spliced from 3 exons. The record is from RefSeq and is a predicted model, not a curated record. Lineage: Eukaryota; Viridiplantae; Streptophyta; Magnoliopsida; Asterales; Asteraceae.